Molecule: long non-coding RNA, 537 nt
Filed under: Malus domestica (apple)
Lineage: Eukaryota; Viridiplantae; Streptophyta; Magnoliopsida; Rosales; Rosaceae
Description: long non-coding RNA (MDOM_LNC011032)
Source: RNAcentral
UCCUCUUAUCUGAGAGGGCACUCCCAACGAAGCCUUUCGAAAUUUUCAGCUUUCUUUCCCCCCGAUAAUACCUCUGUAAACAAGCUAUACUAGAGCAAGAAUAUCUCAUAUCAUCAGGGUUAAAAGCAAGAGUAUCCCAUAUCAUGCUUUUUCCCUGUCUUUUCCUUUGGCCUUGUUCUCACCUGCAAGACAAGGAGAAAGAGAGCAAUCAGUCAGCACUUGGAAUCAAGCUUCCAGCCAGGAACUGACUGCCUGGAAUUACUUACCUGGCAUUGCUCUCGAGUACUCAUCUUCAACAUCUUAGGCUUCCAGGGAAGAUACCACAUCUGCCUGAGGAACAGCUAAGGCAAGUGAGAAGGAUACAAGGAAGCAUGUGGAGACAAGCGUAACAGCACACGUGCCGAUACAUCCACUACUCUGUCAAAAGCAAAAGUAUCCCAUAUCAGCAGGGUCGAACGUACUUUAGAUUUGAUGGACUUGUUUUGACCCUCAAAUUCUUCAGUCGGCCUUAUACUCUGGAGGAAACCAGAAAACCCU